RNAcentral lists this long non-coding RNA (2274 nucleotides) under Helianthus annuus (common sunflower). RNAcentral describes it as "hypothetical non coding rna". Lineage: Eukaryota; Viridiplantae; Streptophyta; Magnoliopsida; Asterales; Asteraceae. The record is from RNAcentral.
UUUUUUGUCCAUUUUGUUUUACAAAUCCUUAAUAUAACUAAUGCAUUAUUUAUGAUUAAUAAAAUAUUACUAUAACAAUCAUCGAAAUCUUUGAAUAACCGCUACCGAAUCAACUUUUUGUAUAGUGGAUAACCGAUGCGCAACCACAACGGUUGUCUUUCCAACCAUUAACCGGUCAAGUUAAAUCUUUGAAUAUGCCACAUCGAGUUGAACCUGGCUUAGAAUAUACCAAUUAAACCACUCAAGUUAAAUAAAAAAAACUAACCAUCUUCAAAUUAAUAAAAAAAAAAAAACGUUAUGAUGAAAUCAACUUUAUCAUAUCUUUACUCUUUAAACAUUGUUGUCAUAGACCAAAUCACUUUCUAAAAGUUUUUAUUUUUUUGAGAAAAAGGCGAUUUUAUACGAAACAAGAGUAGGCCUGAGGAAGAUGCUCAGGCAUAUAGUAGUACAAUACAAAAAAAAAAUUAAAGAUAAGAAUUACAUCGGGAAAUUGCUGAAAUUAAAAGUUCUCCAUUUAUCCCAUUCCAGAUCUGCAUAUCCCGCCCUUGUUUUGAUCCAGAGAAAAUAAUCGCCUUUAUGACUCCCAUAAUCUUUGUUGCCUGCACCUGUCUGCCAACACUCAACAGUCACUUGCAUAAUUUGUAUUUCAUAUGUAAGCACAAAAUCUCAUACAACAAAGAGAGAAGCCAAGAGAAACAAUAGGGCGGGUAGAAAUAUUGCAAGAAAUUAUGAAGACAACUUUUUUAGUGGAACGAUCUAAGAAUUAACCAACUUAUAUGGGUCAAUGCAUUUAAUUAGUGGAUCAAGUGUUAUACCAGUCGGAUCCGACAAUCCCUAUACGGAUCAAACCCUUGCCAAGUUACGAAGGGACAAAACAAACUGACGCAAAACAACCAAAUUAUGGCCAACCAAGUGGAGCAUUUGCGGUUUCCGACUGGUCGAAAACUCUACUGAGUACCUGUUCACGUAAUUGUUAGUUGCACAUAAUAUUAAAUGGUAUUAUGAGAAUCUCAAUUAUCCAAAUGUGUAGUGCAAGAUAAUACAAUAUCAAUGCACAAAACCAUUACUAUUAGUAUCCGCUUUCUGUAUCAAUGCAUCCAGUUAAUCAGGGCUCGGUGUAAGGGCCUAAUGAUCGUAACAACGAACCCAGUUCGAGUUGCGUGAGGCUGCCGAAAUCUAAACAGUAAAAUCACCACAGACUAUUAGAAAAAGCAACAUUAAAUGGCUUAGUUACCUUUAUAUCGCGAUGAACUCUGUAUCCUCCAGUGUAUGUGUCAAGAAACCACAGUCGCUGAGCACAGUCGAUCAACAUAUUAAAUCCAAAACUUUAUGAAGCCAUUUAUACUUCCAUAUUCAUUUAGUUAUUGAGCCCGAGCUCGAGCCUGAAAUACAAAGCUUGUUUAAGGAUUUAAUGGCACCUCUUUUGCUACUUCAACAACAGGGCCUUCACAACAGGAGGUGCUACCACUGGUGGCGGAUACAUGUUGAAGGAAAAAUAUUGUAACAUCACAUAAAGAAUAUUUUUCAAUUUAAGCAUACUCGAAUUUAGAAGAACAGGCAGUUCGAAGCGAGAUUUUCAAAUCAUUACAUAGCAUAUAAAUUGUACCAGAGAGGGUUCAUCUUCAUCUUCCCAUGAAUCUUUUAUACAAUCUUCAUCAUCUCACAUGCUUUCAGGGUCCUUUUUUAUAUCAAGUGCGGUUGGCUCAUCCUUUGACAUUCAAUUUAAAUAGUUGAAACAUGUGAAUCAAUAUCUCUUCUUCCGUUUUACCAGCUUUUCUACUGCCUCCACCACAAGCCUUUUGUUUUCAAGCAAUGUCUCUUCAGAAUCAUCACUUUUCUUUAUUUCCUGAGCAAGAACAAAACUUUACACCAAUGUAACACAUACAUAGUUCAUACUGUUAUCAUACUUCCACAAUAUUAAUGCAUAGCCCAAUGUGAACACUAAAUCAAGAACAUCUCCUUUUAAAAUAUAGGUAUUGUUUGAUUCCAAAAAAGCAUAUUCAUCAUACUACUAAGGUUGCUCAUGGUCCACUUCAGCCGGUUAUAACGAAAAACUCUAGGCUAGACUACUAACUAUUGUUUCGAAAAACAAGUAAACAACAAACCAGACCAGCCGGAUUGAAAGGGUCGGCUAGACCGGCUGUUUUACCAGUUUAGUUUCGGCAAUUUGGAUGGGUGUUUUCUUUUCAAUAUCCUUGGUUUGUAUCAAAAAGUUACAUUGAUAAAGAUGAUCAAUAAUUAAGAUACAUACACAUAACCACAAACUUAAAAGUG